GAUGAACGCUGACAGAAUGCUUAACACAUGCAAGUCUUUGGCGAAGCUGUGCUUGCACAGCCUAGCCAAGGCGGACGGGUGAGUAACGCGUAAGGAACUUGCCCUGCAGUCAGGGAUAACAGACGGAAACGACUGCUAAGCCCUUGUCAAGUCAGGUGGACUCAUGCCCAGUCUGAUGAAAAGAGAUGCUGCUGGAGAGCCUUGCGUCCUAUUAGCUUGUUGGUGGGGUAAUGGCCCACCAAGGCGAUGAUAGGUAGCCGGCCUGAGAGGGUGGACGGCCACAAGGGGAAUGGGAGACGGCCCUUAGGCCUACGGGAGGCAGCAGUGAGGAAUAUUGGACAAUGGGGGCAACCCUGAUCCAGCAAUUCGGUGUGCACGAUGAAGGUUUUCGGAGUGUAAAGUGCUUUCAGCAGGGAAGAAAAAAAUGACGGUACCUGCAGAAGAAGCGACGGCUAAAUACGUG
Molecule: ribosomal RNA, 463 nt
Filed under: uncultured bacterium
Lineage: Bacteria
Description: partial 16S ribosomal RNA
Rfam family: Bacterial small subunit ribosomal RNA
Source: RNAcentral